RNAcentral lists this ribosomal RNA (450 nucleotides) under uncultured Glomus. RNAcentral's name for it is "SSU rRNA". It matches the Rfam family "Eukaryotic small subunit ribosomal RNA", at positions 569 to 1025 of the family's 1831-position model. The record is from RNAcentral. Lineage: Eukaryota; Fungi; Glomeromycota; Glomeromycetes; Glomerales; Glomeraceae.
AGCAGCCGCGGUAAUUCCAGCUCCAAUAGCGUAUAUUAAAGUUGUUGCAGUUAAAAAGCUCGUAGUUGAAUUUCGGGAUCAAAUUGUUGGUCGUGCUUCGGUACGCACUGGCAUUAUUGGUUCCUACCUUCUGAAGAACCGCGAUGUCAUUAAUUUGGUGUCGUGGGGAAUCAGGACUGUUACUUUGAAAAAUUAGAGUGUUUAAAGCAGGCUUACGCUUGAAUACAUUAGCAUGGAAUAAUGAAAUAGGACGUUUGAUUCUAUUUUGUUGGUUUCUAGGAUCGACGUAAUGAUUAAUAGGGAUAGUUGGGGGCAUUAGUAUUCAAUUGUCAGAGGUGAAAUUCUUGGAUUUAUUGAAGACUAACUACUGCGAAAGCAUUUGCCAAGGAUGUUUUCAUUAAUCAAGAACGAAAGUUAGGGGAUCGAAGACGAUCAGAUACCGUCGUAGUC